Molecule: ribosomal RNA, 406 nt
Filed under: uncultured bacterium
Lineage: Bacteria
Description: partial 16S ribosomal RNA
Rfam family: Bacterial small subunit ribosomal RNA
Source: RNAcentral
AUUGAACGCUGGCGGCAGGCCUAACACAUGCAAGUCGAGCGAGCGGCGGACGGGUGAGUAAUGUAUGGGGAUCUGCCUGAUGGAGGGGGAUAACUACUGGAAACGGUAGCUAAUACCGCAUACCAUCGGAUGUGCCCAGAUGGGAUUAGCUAGUAGGUGGGGUAAAGGCUCACCUAGGCGACGUUCCCUAGCUGGUCUGAGAGGAUGAUCAGCCACACUGGCACUGAGACACGGUCCAGACUCCUACGGGAGGCAGCAGUGGGGAAUAUUGCACAAUGGGCGCAAGCCUGAUGCAGCCAUGCCGCGUGUAUGAAGAAGGCCUUCGGGUUGUAAAGUACUUUCAGCGGGGAGGCGUUACCCGCAGAAGAAGCACCGGCUAACUCCGUGCCAGCAGCCGCGGUAAUUC